GUGAACCCAAUAGUUAAUGGGUGCUCACUUGGUGAUGUGGAAAUAGAUGUUGUUUCUGAAAAGGUCAACUUAACUCCAGGAUGGAAAUGCACUAGGAUUGGAUCUGGGCCCAUCUGUCCCAGUGCUAGAGAAGCUGGAGAUGCUGAGGGCUGUGUCCUACUGCAACAGGCUUUCCACAGAGUGGGCCAAGAAUGUCUGAAGGUGCAUGAAGGUAGGAAGAUGCAAGAAGAGCACCGAGCAGCAUGACCUCCUAAGGAGACAGUGGCCUAAUGCAAGAUUGCACCUAUAGGGAAAGAAGAGGAAUACGAAGAAACAAGAUCAAGGGACACACCUCUUCAUCAGGGUGUCCAUCGAGGUCUGGUUAGGAAAUAGAGCCCAGGAGAAAACUCAUAGCAAUCACCAGGAAGAUGACCAUGUGUGGCAGAGGCAGAGACUGGGACUCAGCUGCAAACCAAGGAACGUGAAGAAUGUUAUCAGAUGGCCACCAUCAGGCUAGGAAAAGGCAAGAAAGGAUUCUACCCAGAGUCUCAGAGGACUAUGCUCUACUGACACCUUGAUUUUGGAAUUCUUGCCUCCAACUGUGGCCCAA
This 589-nucleotide long non-coding RNA is filed under the name Heterocephalus glaber (naked mole-rat). RNAcentral describes it as "lncRNA (ENSHGLG00000039880.1)". Lineage: Eukaryota; Metazoa; Chordata; Mammalia; Rodentia; Bathyergidae. The record is from RNAcentral.